RNAcentral lists this ribosomal RNA (253 nucleotides) under uncultured bacterium. Its description in RNAcentral is "partial 16S ribosomal RNA". It matches the Rfam family "Bacterial small subunit ribosomal RNA", at positions 524 to 776 of the family's 1533-position model. The record is from RNAcentral.
UACGGAGGGUGCAAGCGUUAUCCGGAUUCACUGGGUUUAAAGGGUGCGUAGGUGGGCCGGUAAGUCAGUGGUGAAAUCUCCGGGCUUAACCCGGAAACUGCCAUUGAUACUAUUUGUCUUGAAUACUGUGGAGGUCAGCGGAAUAUGUCAUGUAGCGGUGAAAUGCUUAGAUAUGACAUAGAACACCAAUUGCGAAGGCAGCUGGCUACACAAAUAUUGACACUGAGGCACGAAAGCGUGGGGAGCAAACAGG